RNAcentral lists this ribosomal RNA (459 nucleotides) under Notochelys platynota. RNAcentral's name for it is "partial 16S rRNA". It matches the Rfam family "Bacterial large subunit ribosomal RNA", at positions 1970 to 2594 of the family's 2925-position model. Lineage: Eukaryota; Metazoa; Chordata; Testudines; Geoemydidae. The record is from RNAcentral.
UGUCUUUUAAAUAAAGACUAGAAUGAAUGGCCAAACGAGGUUCUACCUGUCUCUUACGAGUAAUCAGUGAAAUUGAUCUUCCUGUGCAAAAGCAGGAAUAACAUUAUAAGACGAGAAGACCCUGUGGAACUUCAAAUACAAAUCAACUAUCAUUAACACCUACACCUACGGGACCAACAUCAAACUAACAUCUGAUUUAUAUUUUUCGGUUGGGGCGACCUCGGAGUAAAACAAAACCUCCAAAAACAGAACUCUACCUAAACCUAGACCUACAAUCCAAAGUGCUUUCAGUAAAACGAUCCAAUAUAUUUGAUCAACGAACCAAGCUACCCCAGGGAUAACAGCGCAAUCCCAUCCUAGAGUCCCCAUCGACGAUGGGGUUUACGACCUCGAUGUUGGAUCAGGACAUCCUGAUGGUGCAGCCGCUAUCAAGGGUUCGUUUGUUCAACGAUUAAUAGU